CCGUACACAAAAGCGCAUGUGCUGUGAGCUCGAUGAGUAGGGCGGGACACGUGGUAUCCUGUCUGAAUAUGGGGGGACCAUCCUCCAAGGCUAAAUACUCCUGACUGACCGAUAGUGAACCAGUACCGUGAGGGAAAGGCGAAAAGAACCCCGGCGAGGGGAGUGAAAAAGAACCUGAAACCGUGUACGUACAAGCAGUGGGAGCACAGGUUUACCUGUGUGACUGCGUACCUUUUGUAUAAUGGGUCAGCGACUUAUAUUCUGUAGCAAGGUUAACCGAAUAGGGGAGCCGGAGGGAAACCGAGUCUUAAUUGGGCGUUAAGUUGCAGGGUAUAGACCCGAAACCCGGUGAUCUAGCCAUGGGCAGGUUGAAGGUUGGGUAACACUAACUGGAGGACCGAACCGACUAAUGUUGAAAAAUUAGCGGAUGACCUGUGGCUGGGGGUGAAAGGCCAAUCAAACCGGGAGAUAGCUGGUUCUCCCCGAAAGCUAUUUAGGUAGCGCCUCGUGAAUUCAUCUCCGGGGGUAGAGCACUGUUUCGGCUAGGGGGCCAUCCCGGCUUACCAACCCGAUGCAAACUGCGAAUACCGGAGAAUGUUAUCACGGGAGACACACGGCGGGUGCUAACGUCCGUCGUGAAGAGGGAAACAACCCAGACCGCCAGCUAAGGUCCCAAAGUCAUGGUUAAGUGGGAAACGAUGUGGGAAGGCCCAGACAGCCAGGAUGUUGGCUUAGAAGCAGCCAUCAUUUAAAGAAAGCGUAAUAGCUCACUGGUCGAGUCGGCCUGCGCGGAAGAUGUAACGGGGCUAAACCAUGCACCGAAGCUGCGGCAGCGAACGUAUCACUUAAAGCGAUUCAGCGGGUUACGAUUGACGGAGCGAAGCGACGUCAAAGCGUAUACAAAGUCGAGUCGGUUUAAGGAUACGUUCGUUGGGUAGGGGAGCGUUCUGUAAGCCCGUGAAGGUGGCCUGUGAGGG
RNAcentral lists this ribosomal RNA (977 nucleotides) under Salmonella enterica subsp. enterica. Its description in RNAcentral is "partial 23S ribosomal RNA". It matches the Rfam family "Bacterial large subunit ribosomal RNA", at positions 373 to 1269 of the family's 2925-position model. Lineage: Bacteria; Pseudomonadati; Pseudomonadota; Gammaproteobacteria; Enterobacterales; Enterobacteriaceae. The record is from RNAcentral.